This 30-nucleotide non-coding RNA is filed under the name Rattus norvegicus (Norway rat). Lineage: Eukaryota; Metazoa; Chordata; Mammalia; Rodentia; Muridae. The record is from RNAcentral.
UUGAAAGAUGUGCCUGCACAGAUCUUCUCC